CACCCAGCACGCUUGUACAAGGCUAACCCACCAAGGAUUUUAAACAGGCACACUGCAGCUAAGAAAGAUGCUAUUGCAACGUGAUCAAUCUGCAGUGGGUACUGGGGUCCCAGGGAUAUGGCAGGAAAAACAAUUUCUUCUGAUCUGAAACCUGGCUCAGAGGAUCCCUCACAGAGACCGAGUUUGAUAAUAUUCACUGAAGACAUUUUUGACUUAGAGAAAUACAAUAUAAAAUGGAGCCUGGCAGAAGAUGUGAUCUUAGCUAAAGAGCCAACUGCAUUAAGAGCAUCACUCUGCUGGAGCAAUUACACAUGGUAA
Molecule: long non-coding RNA, 318 nt
Filed under: Parus major (Great Tit)
Lineage: Eukaryota; Metazoa; Chordata; Aves; Passeriformes; Paridae
Description: lncRNA (ENSPMJG00000002384.1)
Source: RNAcentral